ACCCAAGUAGUUUAAUAAAAUAUUGAUUUGUGGUGUCAAAGAUAUGAGGUAAUCAUUUUGGGUC
RNAcentral lists this transfer RNA (64 nucleotides) under Heptagenia sulphurea. RNAcentral's name for it is "tRNA-His". It matches the Rfam family "tRNA". From Rfam's summary of the family: Transfer RNA (tRNA) molecules are approximately 80 nucleotides in length. Lineage: Eukaryota; Metazoa; Arthropoda; Insecta; Ephemeroptera; Heptageniidae. The record is from RNAcentral.